This 30-nucleotide non-coding RNA is filed under the name Mus musculus (house mouse). Lineage: Eukaryota; Metazoa; Chordata; Mammalia; Rodentia; Muridae. The record is from RNAcentral.
UGUGUAUAUGUGGCACAAUUACUGUUUGGU